GAUGAACGCUGGCGGCGUGCCUAAUACAUGCAAGUCGAGCGAACAGACGAUGCUCUUGCUCCUCUGACGUUUGCGGCGGACGUGUGUGUAACACGUGUAUAACCUACCUAUCAUACUGGUAUCACUUCGGGAAUCCGGAUCUUAUCCCGUAUAAUAUCUUGAUCCGCAUUGUUCAAUAGUAAGAUUCGGUUUUUCUGUCUCUUAUAGCUGCUUCCGCGCCGCAUUAGCUAGUUGGUAAGGUCACGGCUUACCAAGGCAACGAUGCGUAGCCGACCGGAGAGGGUGAUCGGCCACACUGGAAGUGAGACACGGUCCAGACGCAUACGGGAGGCAGCAGGAGGGAAACUUGAGGAAGGAGCGAAAGACUGACGGAGAAACGCCGAGGGAGGGAUGAAGGUCGUCGGAUCGGAAAACACUGUUAUUAGGGAAGAAAAAAUGUGUAAGUAAGUAGGAACGUCUUGAAGGUAAAUAAGCAGAAAGCCACGGCUAAAUAAGUG
This 497-nucleotide ribosomal RNA is filed under the name uncultured bacterium. RNAcentral's name for it is "partial 16S ribosomal RNA". It matches the Rfam family "Bacterial small subunit ribosomal RNA", at positions 28 to 507 of the family's 1533-position model. The record is from RNAcentral.